This 403-nucleotide ribosomal RNA is filed under the name uncultured bacterium. RNAcentral's name for it is "bacterial SSU rRNA". It matches the Rfam family "Bacterial small subunit ribosomal RNA", at positions 355 to 774 of the family's 1533-position model. The record is from RNAcentral.
UAGGGAAUAUUGCAAAAUGGGCGAAAGCCCGAUGCAGCAACGCCGCGUGGGCGAUGAAGGCCUUCGGGUCGUAAAGCCCUUUUUGAGGGGAUGAGGAAGGACAGUACCCUCAGAAUAAGCCUCGGCUAACUACGUGCCAGCAGCCGCGGUAAAACGUAGGAGGCGAGCGUUAUCCGGAUUUACUGGGCGUAAAGCGCGUGCAGGCGGAUUGGAGAGUUGGAUGUGAAAGCUCCCGGCUUAACUGGGAGAGGUCGUUCAAUACUUCCAGUCUUGAAUGCAGUAGAGGGAAGUGGAAUUCCGGGUGUAGUGGUGAAAUGCGUAGAUAUCCGGAGGAACACCAGUGGCGAAAGCGGCUUCCUGGACUGUAACUGACGCUCAGACGCGAAAGCUAGGGUAGCAAACG